RNAcentral lists this ribosomal RNA (500 nucleotides) under uncultured bacterium. RNAcentral describes it as "partial 16S ribosomal RNA". It matches the Rfam family "Bacterial small subunit ribosomal RNA", at positions 28 to 507 of the family's 1533-position model. The record is from RNAcentral.
GACGAACGCUGGCGGCGUGCUUAACACAUGCAAGUCGAACGGGUCUGCCCUGUUUUUUGCGGGGUGGGUCAGUGGCGAACGGGGGAGUAACACGUGAGUAACCUGCCCCUCACUUCUGGAUAACCGCUUGAAAGGGUGGCUAAUACGGGGUGUUCUGGCUGUGCCGCAUGGUGUGGCUGGGAAAGAUUCACUUUUGUGGUGUUUUGGUGGGGGAUGGGCUCGCGGCCUAUCAGCUUGUUGGUGUGGUGAUGGCCUGCCGAGGCUUUGACGGGUAGCCGGCCUGAGAGGGUGGGCGGUAACACUGGGGCUGAGCUACGGCCCCGCCUCCUGCGGGAGGCAGCAGUGGGGGGUAUUGCACAAUGGGCGGAAGCCUGAUGCAGCGACGUCGCGUGAGGGAUGGAGGUCUUCGGGUUGUGAACCUCUUUCGCCGGUGAAGAAGGUCCUGCUCUUUGUGGUGGGGUUGACGGUAGCCGGGUUAUGAAGCGCCGGCUAACUACGUG